Molecule: ribosomal RNA, 380 nt
Filed under: uncultured eukaryote
Lineage: Eukaryota
Description: partial 18S ribosomal RNA
Rfam family: Eukaryotic small subunit ribosomal RNA
Source: RNAcentral
CAAUAGCGUAUAUUAAAGUUGUUGCGGUUAAAAAGCUCGUAGUUGGAUUUCUGCUGAGAACGACCGGUCCGCCCUUUGGGUGUGUAUCUGGCUCUUUCUUGGCAUCUUCUUGGUGAACGUUGCUGCACUUGACUGUGUGGAGCGCUACCCAGGACUUUUACUUUGAGGAAAUGAGAGUGUUCCAAGCAGGCAAUUGCCGUGAAUAUGAUAGCAUGGAAUAAUAGCACAGGACUCUUGGUUCAAUGCUGUUGGUUUGUUGAACUAGAGUAAUCACAAUAAGGAUAGUUGGGGGUAUUCGUAUUUAACUGUCAGAGGUGAAAUUCUUGGAUUUUUUAAAGACGAACAAUUGCGAAGGCAUCUACCCAGGAUGUUUUUGUUGA